RNAcentral lists this unclassified non-coding RNA (517 nucleotides) under Hevea brasiliensis (rubber tree). The record is from RNAcentral. Lineage: Eukaryota; Viridiplantae; Streptophyta; Magnoliopsida; Malpighiales; Euphorbiaceae.
AUAAAUAUAGAUAGUUAGUACUUGAUCAAAAUGGAUUUACAUAAGUAGCAAAGCAAGAAGCCCCAAAGUUUAUAACAAGAGUAACAAGAAAGGCAUACAUAAUGUGAUAGGAAAACACACUUUUAUUUCAUAUUACAAGUCUCAUUAAGUUCCUCAACAUAUUUUCUGCCAAACCAAAAGUGCAACACUAACUUGCUUAAGUCAUCGCCCCUCGUCAAGUCUCCAGAAAAGCUUCAACAGAAAUGGAAGCUUAACUCAAAGGUUAAGGGCUUGGGCAUGAUGACGAAUGUGAUCAUCAAUGAAGGUGGCAAUGAAGAAGUAAGAGUGGUCAUAACCGGGUUGCAGCCGCAGCAGUAGAGGAACAUUAACCUUUUUACAUGCCUCUUCAAACUUCUGUGGGAGCAGUUGAUCUUUAUAGAAUUUGUCGUCCUCCCCCUGAUCAAUAAGAAUGGUAGCAGAGACAUCAUUAUAUUUUGAUACAAGGCAAGUGGCGUCAUAUUCCUCCCAAUCAGCUUUA